CAAAGAGUAGUUUAACUAAGAAUUCUGGCUUUGGGAGCCAGGGGUGGGAGUUAAAAUCUCCUUUCUUUGAG
Molecule: transfer RNA, 71 nt
Filed under: Sebastes borealis (shortraker rockfish)
Lineage: Eukaryota; Metazoa; Chordata; Actinopteri; Perciformes; Sebastidae
Description: tRNA-Pro
Rfam family: tRNA
About the family: Transfer RNA (tRNA) molecules are approximately 80 nucleotides in length. Their secondary structure includes four short double-helical elements and three loops (D, anti-codon, and T loops).
Source: RNAcentral